Molecule: ribosomal RNA, 468 nt
Filed under: uncultured bacterium
Lineage: Bacteria
Description: partial 16S ribosomal RNA
Rfam family: Bacterial small subunit ribosomal RNA
Source: RNAcentral
GACGAACGCUGGCGGCGUGCUUAACACAUGCAAGUCGAACGGAAAGGCCCUGCUUUUGUGGGGUGCUCGAGUGGCGAACGGGUGAGUAACACGUGAGUAACCUGCCCUUGACUUUGGGAUAACUUCAGGAAACUGGGGCUAAUACCGGAUAGGAGCUCCCGCUGCAUGGUGGGGGUUGGAAAGUUUCGGCGGUUGGGGAUGGACUCGCGGCUUAUCAGCUUGUUGGUGGGGUAGUGGCUUACCAAGGCCUUGACGGGUAGCCGGCCUGAGAGGGUGACCGGCCACAUUGGGACUGAGAUACGGCACAGACUCCUACGGGAGGCAGCGGUGGGGAAUAUUGCACAAUGGGCGGAAGCCUGAUGCAGCAACGCCGCGUGCGGGAUGACGGCCUUCGGGUUGUAAACCGCUUUCGCCUGUGACGAAGCGUGAGUGACGGUAAUGGGUAAAGAAGCACCGGCUAACUACGUG